This 253-nucleotide ribosomal RNA is filed under the name uncultured bacterium. Its description in RNAcentral is "partial 16S ribosomal RNA". It matches the Rfam family "Bacterial small subunit ribosomal RNA", at positions 524 to 776 of the family's 1533-position model. The record is from RNAcentral.
UACGAAGGGGGCUAGCGUUGUUCGGAAUUACUGGGCGUAAAGCGCGCGUAGGCGGUUGUGUAAGUCAGAGGUGAAAUCCCAGAGCUUAACUCUGGAACGGCCUUUGAGACUGCAUAGCUAGAGAACGGAAGAGGUGAGUGGAAUUCCCAGUGUAGAGGUGAAAUUCGUAGAUAUUGGGAAGAACACCGGUGGCGAAGGCGGCUCACUGGUCCGUUUCUGACGCUGAUGCGCGAAAGCGUGGGGAGCAAACAGG